RNAcentral lists this long non-coding RNA (1278 nucleotides) under Phascolarctos cinereus (koala). RNAcentral's name for it is "lncRNA (ENSPCIG00000035601.1)". Lineage: Eukaryota; Metazoa; Chordata; Mammalia; Diprotodontia; Phascolarctidae. The record is from RNAcentral.
UACUACUCAUAUAGCAAGCCUAGCCCUGGGUUUCUGGAUUACCUAACAUGCCAUUCAUUAUUCAUGUACUCCUGAGCAAAGUCACAAGUGAUUGUGCCAUCAAUAAUCUGGUGUUCUGGGGGGCCCAAUAUUGGUACCAUAAAUGGAUAUAACUCAACUUUCUGAAGAUACUUGCCUACCAAUGGCAUGGGUUUGAUUUUGAAAGGCCUGGAUGGUACUGGAUCACUUCCCUAGAGGACCUGACACUUCCAUGAGAGUUGCUGCUGGAGAUAGAACUCAGUCACCUUCUAUAUCAGUCAUGGGUUGCUAUAAAUGAACAACUAGCUGGGAUUGCUGGCCAUCUCGCUUGGUUUUGUUUGUUCUGAGGAUGUAAACCUGAGUGUCAACUCUGAGUAUCAGCGUGCUGAGAUGGACAAUUGCAGGUGACAUGGCUUGGGUAAGGGGAGACUAGGCCACUGAUCUCAUUUGGAUUGGAGAUCAGAAGAUGAUAAUUCAUGGAAUGCAAGAAGUUUUUAGGUUUAGAAGGAGAACGUUAGCGGAACAUCUUCACAUUUUCUCUAAGCAGAAGUCAUUUAUUGCCACUAGUAAAGGAAGAAACAAAGCUGAGAUAAGCUUUUGAAAGUAAAAUCUCACAGUUAUUCAUGGCAACUGAGUAUAUGGUAAACAUGGUAAAUAAAAAGACCACUUAUUUGUUCCAAAAUCCUUAGGGACUCCAGUAUGGAUCUCAGUUGGACCAAGUGCCUCUCUCCUCUCAUUCUGUCACCUCCCUCCAACCUGCUAGCUCAGAGAGAGAUCCCGGAACUCAGCCCCAGGAGCGAUCCCCAGAUGGCCAGAAGUAAAGACAGCAUUUUCAUUUUAUUCCCUUGGCAAAGUCCCAGUGGCAAGCAAGAACAAGCUAAGUGCUGAGACAUAAUGGAGUUAAAAACCAUCAUUCCAACACUCUUAUCAUACACAGAUGAAGCUAGCCCCUUAUCAGCAAGGAAGCUGAUGGGAAGUUUAUUUUUUUUUCUCGCCUGGUAAAGACUGAAGGAUCACUGGAGGCAGAAGUCUCACAGGUGAGAGGAAAUCUGGGAACUUUGCAUACUUUUCUCUGGCCAACAGUGAAUUACAAGGGAAGAACAGUGCUAUUUCAAACUAAAUAUAAAUACGAGCCCUUAGAGCCUUGUCUGAUUCAUUAAUCUAUUUAAGGAGGAACUUGCACGGAUGGAAUUUGCUGCCUUACUUGAACCAGGUGAGUUUAUUCCCCAUAUACCCUUCCUCCUUCUGUCUUACCUCAUC